This is a long non-coding RNA of Cyprinus carpio carpio, 341 nucleotides long. Lineage: Eukaryota; Metazoa; Chordata; Actinopteri; Cypriniformes; Cyprinidae. The record is from Ensembl.
GGAGGAGGAGGACCUCAGUCAGAAAGAUGAGGGUUUUGGAAAAGAGCAGUGUAAGAGGUGUGGACAGGAGGUCCCCAUUCACCUCCUGGUCCAACAUCUAACACAACAUGAAAGCUGAUCCAGUAAGAAGUGUUCUGGUCCCUCAAAGCUUGACUGAGGGCCAAUUUAAAACAUUUAUAGAGGAGGAAUACCCCCAACUGAAGAGCAAGUCAUUCGACAUGUGCAGAGUCAAUAGACAACGUGUUGUAAUUCCACUGAUCGAGGGGACACCUAAAGCAAUACGAAACAGUGGAGUGCUGGGAAGGUCAGCUCUCUACCUCCGGCCAAGUGUAAGCUCACUA